GGUGUGACUGCGUACCUUUUGUAUAAUGGGUCAGCGACUUAUAUUCUGUAGCAAGGUUAACCGUAUAGGGGAGCCGCAGGGAAACCGAGUCUUAACUGGGCGUUAAGUUGCAGGGUAUAGACCCGAAACCCGGUGAUCUAGCCAUGGGCAGGUUGAAGGUUGGGUAACACUAACUGGAGGACCGAACCGACUAAUGUUGAAAAAUUAGCGGAUGACUUGUGGCUGGGGGUGAAAGGCCAAUCAAACCGGGAGAUAGCUGGUUCUCCCCGAAAGCUAUUUAGGUAGCGCCUCGUGAACUCAUCUUCGGGGGUAGAGCACUGUUUCGGCUAGGGGGUCAUCCCGACUUACCAACCCGAUGCAAACUACGAAUACCGAAGAAUGUUAUCACGGGAGACACACGGCGGGUGCUAACGUCCGUCGUGAAGAGGGAAACAACCCAGACCGCCAGCUAAGGUCCCAAAGUCAUGGUUAAGUGGGAAACGAUGUGGGAAGGCACAGACAGCCAGGAUGUUGGCUUAGAAGCAGCCAUCAUUUAAAGAAAGCGUAAUAGCUCACUGGUCGAGUCGGCCUGCGCGGAAGAUGUAACGGGGCUAAACCAUGCACCGAAGCUGCGGCAGCGACACGAUGUGUUGUUGGGUAGGGGAGCGUUCUGUAAGCCUGCGAAGGUGACCUGUGAGGGUUGCUGGAGGUAUCAGAAGUGCGAAUGCUGACAUAAGUAACGAUAAAGCGGGUGAAAAGCCCGCUCGCCGGAAGACCAAGGGUUCCUGUCCAACGUUAAUCGGGGCAGGGUGAGUCGACCCCUAAGGCGAGGCCGAAAGGCGUAGUCGAUGGGAAACAGGUUAAUAUUCCUGUACUUGGUGUUACUGCGAAGGGGGGACGGAGAAGGCUAUGUUAGCCGGGCGACGGUUGUCCCGGUUUAAGCAUGUAGGCUGGUUAUCCAGGCAAAUCCGGAUAAUCAAGGCUGAGGUGUGAUGACGAGGCACUACGGUGCUGAAGUAACAAAUGCCCUGCUUCCAGGAAAAGCCUCUAAGCAUCAGGUAACAUCAAAUCGUACCCCAAACCGACACAGGUGGUCAGGUAGAGAAUACCAAGGCGCUUGAGAGAACUCGGGUGAAGGAACUAGGCAAAAUGGUGCCGUAACUUCGGGAGAAGGCACGCUGGUGUGUAGGUGAAGUCCCUGCGGAUGGAGCUGAGACCAGUCGAAGAUACCAGCUGGCUGCAACUGUUUAUUAAAAACACAGCACUGUGCAAACACGAAAGUGGACGUAUACGGUGUGACGCCUGCCCGGUGCCGGAAGGUUAAUUGAUGGGGUUAUCCGUAAGGAGAAGCUCUUGAUCGAAGCCCCGGUAAACGGCGGCCGUAACUAUAACGGUCCUAAGGUAGCGAAAUUCCUUGUCGGGUAAGUUCCGACCUGCACGAAUGGCGUAAUGAUGGCCAGGCUGUCUCCACCCGAGACUCAGUGAAAUUGAACUCGCUGUGAAGAUGCAGUGUACCCGCGGCAAGACGGAAAGACCCCGUGAACCUUUACUAUAGCUUGACACUGAACAUUGAGCCUUGAUGUGUAGGAUAGGUGGGAGGCUUUGAAGCGUGGACGCCAGUCUGCGUGGAGCCAACCUUGAAAUACCACCCUUUAAUGUUUGAUGUUCUAACGUUGGCCCCU
RNAcentral lists this ribosomal RNA (1661 nucleotides) under Klebsiella quasipneumoniae. RNAcentral describes it as "partial 23S ribosomal RNA". It matches the Rfam family "Bacterial large subunit ribosomal RNA", at positions 590 to 2236 of the family's 2925-position model. The record is from RNAcentral. Lineage: Bacteria; Pseudomonadati; Pseudomonadota; Gammaproteobacteria; Enterobacterales; Enterobacteriaceae.